This 478-nucleotide ribosomal RNA is filed under the name uncultured bacterium. Its description in RNAcentral is "partial 16S ribosomal RNA". It matches the Rfam family "Bacterial small subunit ribosomal RNA", at positions 28 to 523 of the family's 1533-position model. The record is from RNAcentral.
GACGAACGCUGGCGGCGUGCUUAACACAUGCAAGUCGAACGGUAAGGCCCUUCGGGGUACACGAGUGGCGAACGGGUGAGUAGCACGUGGGUGAUCUGCCCUGCACUUCGGGAUAAGCCUGGGAAACUGGGUCUAAUACCGGAUAGGACUCCUGCCUGCAGGGGUGGGGGUGGAAAGCUUUUGGGGUGUGGGCUGGGUCCGCGGCCUUCCAGCGUGUUGGUGGGGUGAUGGCCUACCAAGGCGACGACGGGUAGCCGGCAUGAGAGGGGGACCGGCCACACUGGGACUGAGAUACGGCCCAGACUCAUACGGGAGGCAGCAGUGGGGAAUAUUGCACAAUGGGCGCAAGCCUGAUGCAGCGACGCCGCGUGAGGGAUGACGGCCUUCGGGUUGUAAACCUCUUUCAGCACAGACGAAGCGCAAGUGACGGUAUGUGCAGAAGAAGGACCGGCCAACUACGUGCCAGCAGCCGCCGUAA